AUUGAACGCUGGCGGCAGGCCUAACACAUGCAAGUCGAACGGUAACAGGAAGCAGCUUGCUGCUUUGCUGACGAGUGGCGGACGGGUGAGUAAUGUCUGGGAAACUGCCCGUUGGAGGGGGAUAACUACUGGAAACGGUAGCUAAUACCGCAUAACGUCGCAAGACCAAAGAGGGGGACCUUAGGGCCUCUUGCCAUCGGAUGUGCCCAGAUGGGAUUAGCUAGUAGGUGGGGUAACGGCUCACCUAGGCGACGAUCCCUAGCUGGUCUGAGAGGAUGACCAGCCACACUGGAACUGAGACACGGUCCAGACUCCUACGGGAGGCAGCAGUGGGGAAUAUUGCACAAUGGGCGCAAGCCUGAUGCAGCCAUGCCGCGUGUAUGAAGAAGGCCUUCGGGUUGUAAAGUACUUUCAGCGGGGAGGAAGGGAGUAAAGUUAAUACCUUUGCUCAUUGACGUUACCCGCAGAAGAAGCACCGGCUAACUCCGU
This 489-nucleotide ribosomal RNA is filed under the name uncultured bacterium. Its description in RNAcentral is "partial 16S ribosomal RNA". It matches the Rfam family "Bacterial small subunit ribosomal RNA", at positions 30 to 506 of the family's 1533-position model. The record is from RNAcentral.